This 570-nucleotide ribosomal RNA is filed under the name Hyperlophus vittatus (sandy sprat). RNAcentral's name for it is "partial 16S ribosomal RNA". It matches the Rfam family "Bacterial large subunit ribosomal RNA", at positions 1816 to 2597 of the family's 2925-position model. The record is from RNAcentral. Lineage: Eukaryota; Metazoa; Chordata; Actinopteri; Clupeiformes; Clupeidae.
CGCCUCCUGACCCCCAUUACAUAGGAGGUCCCGCCUGCCCCGUGACCAAAAGUUUAACGGCCGCGGUAUUUUAACCGUGCAAAGGUAGCGCAAUCAAUUGUCUUUUAAAUGAAGACCUGUAUGAAUGGCAUAACGAGGGUUUAACUGUCUCUUUUUCCUAGUCAAUGAAACUGAUCUGCCCGUGCAGAAGCGGGCAUGCAUCUACAAGACGAGAAGACCCUAUGGAGCUUUAGACGCACACCAACCAUGAAAAGCAGCCCUCCACCAGGCCUCAAACAACAUGACAGUGGCACAAACGUCUUCGGUUGGGGCGACCACGGGAGAAAGAAGAGCUCCCGAGUGGAUUAGGGCCACCCUAAAACCCAGAGUCACACCUCUAAGUCACAAAAUAUUUGACCAAGAAUGAUCCGGCCACAAGCCGAUCAACGAACCAAGUUACCCUAGGGAUAACAGCGCAAUCCCCUCCCAGAGUCCAUAUCGACGAGGGGGUUUACGACCUCGAUGUUGGAUCAGGACAUCCUAAUGGUGCAGCCGCUAUUAAGGGUUCGUUUGUUCAACGAUUAAAGUCCU